AAUCCAUAUGUCUCAAAUUUCAGUCACCUAUUCGACAGAUUGAGUCCCGCCCAAACCCAACCCUAAAACUCCCCCAACCUUCGAUUUCGAGAUAUCAUAUAAAAGUGGUGAUGGCGGCCCAGCGUAAGAACCCGCAGAUUGAGAAUGUUGUGAUGAUGCUUCCCUCGGGCAUUCGCUGCACCGCUUGUAGCACUGUCGUGGCCAAAGGCACCAAGUUGAAUUCCCGCAAAGAAGAAGCCCUCGGCGAGGAGUUUUGGGAGGUUUGGAAGGAUCAUACAUUCAGAUUUUGCUUCAAUUGUACCCAAUACUCCGCUGAGAUCGUCAUAAGGACAGACCCACAAUAUUCACACCUUGCUGUUGAGGCUGGUGCUUCGAAAUUUUAUCGUUAUAUCCCUUGGCUUCCCCCUAUGGUUGAGGAGAAAGAGAAGUUGGUUCCUUACACCAAACUGGCAAGAGAAAAGAGAGGAGGUCUUAGUUAACAGGAUACAACAAAUUAUAGAUAAGCAUAUUCAGAUAAGGAAGAUUGAAGAAGUGGGAGAUGCCAUGAAACCUUUGGAUUUCAAAAGAGAGAUUUAGCAGUUUUCCGUCAAGGGCGAAAUGAAGUGUGGACUUUCCUAAACAAAAAUAUACACAAGUUGGUCCUGCAUUCCAUGCUUCCCUCCAAAAACGGAUUGCUAAUUUAGCUAGCUUUCAUUGUCAUUGGUUUAUUUGAUAUCCCUGUGUACAUUAACGUGUUUCUUAACUUAAAAGUUUUUGAGAUGUACGCAGGUUCAUGAAAUAUUUCGACUGUUGUGUUGAUAGGAUGGAGGGCGCUGCUAAGACAUAUGUGUACUUUUUUAGAUGUGUGGUUUAGUAAUGCAAUAUCUCCUACUCCUACAUUCCAUUGUUUAUGUUUGUUUAGGUAUUCCGAUUCAAACACCUUACAAUUGACUAAAAACUAAUGUAUAAUGAUUAAUGAUGUACUUACCAUUGAUCACUUCCCCCCCUCCCACACAUCAGUUCUACAAUUUGGAUAUCUCAUUGGUUCAUUCAUAUCUUAUAGUUGGUUACUUUGGUUUUCAAUACUUACGAUCUACUCUUGUAUACCCUUUGGUGCUUUAUGGCUCUUUCUAAUCUUGUUUGCUUAAGCUCUCUGCCUGCCUGGUGAUUAUUUUUCACAUAAAAUGAAAUCUUUGUCGUGCACCAACUGUGAUUACAUACAUGGGAUGAUGGAAUGGAAUGGAAAUGCAUGUCCGUAUUGGGCGAAUCCAUUAUAAAAGCUUUUGUCCUCGGUAUGCAGUAUGACAACCAGAUAUUGAAUAAACAAUUGGUCCCAAAGCUUAGAAGCAAGGUUCUUCUUCUUUUGCUUACUAUAUUAUUAAGGAUUUUAAAAUUUUAAAUUGACAAAUGAAAGUUUUACAUCCGUCGUGUAAAAAUGGCACCUCUCUAGGAAAAAACCUUUUGCUUGUUAUGUCCAUCUUUCACUAGGUUAUGUGGGAGCCAUUGUUUAUUUAUUUAUUUUAUCAAUCGGAGAGGGAGGAUUUGAAUUUGAGACAUCCUCCAACAUUGGGAAGAAACAUACCACUAUAUCAAGGGCUAGUUGGUAUGUGGUAGCCAACUUUUAUAGUGGAUUUCACUUGUGUUCUGAAUGCUCCCAAAACAGCUUAUUGUCUAUGUUCAAAUGAUGGUAAAGAACAUUGUCAAACCAGUUCACAUUUAAAUUUAAAGCUUUCAAAUUUUGACCAAUUACUUUAAUUUUCCAAAAAUUGACAGGAGAGUGCGAUCUUGGGAACUAUUCUGACAUAUUUUUAGCUUCGCAUACCUCUCUCUUGCUAGCUUAAACCCUCGUUUCUCUAAACAAUAAUAAAUAAAAAAUACAAGAUUAGGAUCUUCAGCUACUCUGCUUCUCUCAUUUCUCUAAACAACAACAAAAAAUAAAUCAGAAUUUUGCUUCCAAGCUUUCAAAUGAAACCUCUACAACAUUGUCAAAUAGUCUAGAUUAAAACUAUUGAGAUCACGGUAAAGAACUUGUCAAUUAGAAGGUUUCACUUUCCUCGUAACAUCUCUAAGUAGUUUGAAGCCUUUUAUGAUCCUAAAGCUAACUUUGUAGUUUGAAGCUCCCUAAUCAAAUAGAUCUGCCAAACAUGACAUAAUGAUCAAAGAGUUCAAAACAUAACCACCUGAAACUGCAGCAUUCCCAGCUGAAACUGCAGAACUGGCUGCAUCUUUUGUUUAAAUCUUGAGAAAGCCAGUUCCUUUUGGUCGCCUGCCACAACAUAAUAGCACAAUAAAGAUGUAGGAAUCAUCUGAAGAGGACUGGGAAAAAAGAUUGCACUUCCCCAAAGUCUCGAAAGAUGAUUUACUGGGCUCCUCAGAAGAUUAAAAAAUAGACAGCUCCUUGUCCGUUCGGAGCUGUGCGAGAUCAUCAUCAUGAGAAGUUCUGUGGCAUACGCGAUCAAGUUGUUUAGAACUUUUCUUGCAAUGUCUACUUCCUCUUCAAAAUUUAUUUCAGUGGGGAUGUCUUUCUUCUCUAUGGUAUUAGAGUCAUCAGGACUGCUGUCAAUUCCAACAUGGUGCUCGGACUUUUUACCGAAAUUCCCAGCAUCGCCCUCUAAAUCUUUACUGCUACUAUCAUUCACUUCCAUCCUUUUGUCCUGUAAAAAUCGGAGCUUUUGUAUCAUUUGAUGUAGAUACAAUCAUCAAUAACAGCAUUACA
This is an RNA transcript of Prunus avium (sweet cherry), 2695 nucleotides long. RefSeq lists it as uncharacterized. Lineage: Eukaryota; Viridiplantae; Streptophyta; Magnoliopsida; Rosales; Rosaceae. The record is from RefSeq and is a predicted model, not a curated record.